GGUCGUGGGGUGUUUGUCCCUGUCUGUCCACGUUCCCCCUGUGUUGAAGGUGUGAAGGUGUUUCUCAUGUCAGCCCAGCAUCAUUCCUAUACUCAGACCACAUAGCAUUCCUUUAGGUAUUUAGCUCUUCCCGGAGGUUAGUGGGCGCAACCAUGUGGAAACAAGGGAGUCGGCUGCCAAGGAAAGUCUACAGUUUUAUGGGCAGGAAAUGGUGUGUGGUGUCGGGGUCAUUUUGUCCAGCCCCCCGCUUGUGCUGCGAGCCUUUUUUCUCCAGUGUGGCUGGCCUCACGCCAGACCAGUUAUGCAGGUUCAAGUGUCUAGGCUGUUGGCUGGUUCUCUCAUUUCACACCUGUGUGUGACCUGUUGCUUCUGGAGGACCUGGGUCUCACAUCUUCUCCAAGGUGUUUUCACUGACGGGUCCAUAGUGUGAAAGUGCAAGGCACCACAGCAACAAGGGUUUGCCCUGGUAAUUUGGGCCUCUGAAUGGCUCCUAUGCCAUUAGCUUUGCCUGUUGUCCAAGGGAAGCUCCUCUGGCUUGUCAGGAGGGCUGGAACUAUGCUUGCUCUUGAGUCCCCCUUGGUCAGUCCAGGGGUUCCUUAGGUGCCCUUUGUCAUGGGUCACUAUGAGCCGCUUUUAAUGGAGGUCAUCACAUUAGGCUCAAGGCCGUUCCCUUGUGCAAUAUCUCAGGGCCGACAUUUCCCAUUGAGGGCGAGUCCAUUAAGUGAAAACCUAUAUGCCAAGAGUGGGUUUGUUCUCUUGGAGGGCGUGGCUCUUAGGCUGAGGGAUCCCAUUUCCCCUGAGGUUUUCUGGGGCGUUCAGGAUGACAUCCUUCUGCUGUGUCAGUGUGGAGGUCACUCACGAGGGGAAUUGCAGUGCCGUACUGGGGGUUAAUGGAUGGCAGCACUCAUUGUGCUAAUGGCCGCACAUUCUGAAGGUGUCUGCACCACGAUGCAUUCAUGAUUGGCUGCAGACACACAGGCAAGAUGGGCAGCAAAUUUAAUGUUGAGGUGAGAAAGAGUGCACAUCACUGGGUGGUAUCGCCCUUUCCCUCUGUGCACCCGUGCACCAUCCUCAAAAGUGCAUGUGUUCUUUUACCUCAAGCCAGGUGGAGUGCCAGGGAAUGAAUGCCAGCAGCAGCAUGGCACCCUCCGUAUAGUCCGUGAUACCCAGUGAAGUGAGGACAGUGCGGCAAGGUGAUGCAAGGUGAAGGAGUCUUGGAGGGCUGUUGGCGUGAAGUCCUUGAGGUUCCUUAUGGAAACCUUGUGGCAGUAAGCAGAACUUCUUUGCAGAAACGUAGAUUUUUGGCCACAGGUACUUGUGCACCAAGACUACACCCUCACCUUCUUGGCUUUUCCAGGGGCACCCAAGCUCCAAUGCCCCGACACUUGGGUGCACUUCCUUCCCCAUGGCUCGGCUCUAGCCACUCCUGACUGCUGACAUGAUUGAGCUCACUGGCCCUCCCACGGUGGAGGCUGCAACUUUGCACAUCCAGCCUUUGAGCAGGUGCUUGGAUCAAUGAUGACUCCCAUAAAUGCAUUCCCUGGAAAUCUGAACAAAAUGAGUGAACAAUCUCUACUGUCUCCUCAUUGGAACUGAGGUCCAGCACGUGGCUCCCAAAAGAAAAUUACAGAGAGGUUCACACUGCAUUUGCGACCUUGGGCAUCUGCAACCACGUUGUUCACAUUGAGGGUGGUGGCCUCCUCAUGAGGAAAGAGCCAUUUGGAAAUGAACAAGGGAUGUCCAUCCACAUGGGAAUGCUGGGGAUGGCUUGAUGACUCUGGACCCCUGAGUCUAGCCAGGUCUCCUGUCCCCUUCUGCGGUUCAGCAUGCAGGUCCCUUCGAGCCACUUUUAAUGGAGGUCAUCGAAUUCGGCCAAGGGCCCUUCCCUUGUGGAAGAUUGCAGCGACCACGUUUCCCCUUGAAGGGGAGUGCAAUGUGAGGAAGCGUAUGUGCCAAGAGCAGGUGGAGUGCCAGUUAAUGAAUGGCGGCAGCAGCGUGGGGCCUUCUGGAUAGUCCAUGAUACCCAGUGACGUGAGGACAGUGUGGCAAGGCGAGGCAAGGCAAGGUGAAGGAGUUUCGGAGGGGUGUUGGCGUGAAGUCCUUGAGCUUCCUGGUGGAAACCUUGUGGCAGUGGAAUGCCAGGGAACGAAUGCCAGCAGCAGCCUGGAGCCCUCCAUAUAAUCCGUGAUACCCGGCGAAGUGAGGACGAUGCAGAAAGGCAAGGUGUGGUGUAGGAGUCUUGGAGGGGCGUUGGCGUGCAGUCCGUAAGGAUCCUGGUUUAACCCUUGUGGCGUUCAACUUAGAAUCAGCACUUGUUUUUUUAUGAAAGAACUAAUUUUUUUCACCUUGAGAAGUGAAAUGAUGGAGAAUAUCAUGACUAAAUCUGCCAUCCAAACCUCACAGUCCAGUGGGAAUUCUCACACUGGUCAUUGUGUCUGAGGGUGUUGGAAUCCUGAGUGCUCAGUCUCUGCCACAUAUCUCACGUUUAAUGUUCUUCUACAAAUGUACCUGUAUUGAUGAUGACUUCAGAAAUGGAUCUCAGAGGAGUCUGAAUGAAAUGACUGACAAAAUUACUUCUCAUGGAUCAAGUACUGUGUUUCAUAUGAAAGAGAGGUGACAUAAAGGACAGGAUUCAGAAUAAGUCUGCCUUUCCAUCCUUAAGGUCCAUUCUCAAACUGUAGAUUAGAGGUGAUAUUGAAGUUGGAUGGAAUUCCUCCCACUUCUUCAAGGAACUGCUGAUUUUCUCAUUCAUACCAGCUCCCUUCUGCAUAAAUAAUCACAACAAUGCACUCCAGAGAUGGAAGUGACUUUGGAAUUGCAUGGAAUACUCACCACCAUAAAAAAGUGCUGAUUUUGUUGCUUUCACCUGUUCCCUCUCCUGGGAUGGAACAAAAUAAUGAACUCCAAAGUUCCACAGAUAUGGACCACUGGUUGAGUUUAAUAUGAAAGAGUUUAUCCCUCUUCUUGAGAGGUGACAUGAAGGAAAGUAUUGAAAAUCAUUUUACCAUCUCAUCCUCAAAUGCCAGUGGGAAUUGUAACAUCAGUUGGAAGUAAUAUUGGAAUUGCAUGGAAUUCUUACCACCCCACCGAAGAAGAGCUGGUUUUGUCACUUCUGCCAGCUCCUUAUCUAAGAAGAAAUCCAAUGAUGCACUCUCAAGAAUUUUUGCAUUUUCUCAGUCUUCCUACUAAUGCCUCAUACAGGAAUUAAGCAUGGAGAUGAAAGUAAAGCCAUUCCUCACCAGUGUGGCAGAGAGAAACUGUUUCUACUGAGGGGUGUGCUUGGCCAAAUGUACUGAAUCCUCAGCAGUGUGGCCUGGUGAGCACCACCCUGACAAUAGGAUGGGAAGUAUUUCAUGGUUGACAUGUUCCAAAAACUGGGUUUCAUAAGGAUGAGUUUAUCCCUUCCCCGUGAGAUGAGACAUGAAGGAAAGUGUUGGGAAUAAUUCUACUUCCCAUCAUCAAAGGCCUGUGUGAAUUCUCACAAAGGUGAUAGAGCCUAGAAGGAAAGGGAAACUGUCUAUGCUUUUGCCUUAACCUUUGAAUGUCAGUUCUAGAGAAGGAGGUGACAACUUACUUCUCAGCCAGUGCUCUCCCUUCCCACCUGUGGUCCUUUGGACACCCUCGCAGAAGAUGACUUCUUGGGAACUCUUUUGGGAAUGAAUGAUACCAGUAAAUCCCUGAAGCAAGAUUCUUCAGACAGAGCCUAUUCACCUACCUGUUGUCCAAGGGCUACCCUCUGAAGGUGAUGACCACAGAGACGAGGUGGAUUUGUUACUGUGGGUACCAUUACUUCUACCAUCAGCUUCUUCAAAACAAUGAUACAGUCUUCUUUGUGCAUGGAAACUCUUCUAUUUCCUGUGUUGCAGUGGAUUCCUCCUGCAGAUAAGAAAUGCUUAACUGAGAAAUGCUCAUGUUGGGAUAUCAUCGAUGAGACUUUAAUUUGGGCAUGGUGACUGUUUCCCUUGCUUCCACUUGACUCAAUCCCAGGAGCCUCAGUAGAGGAAAUAUUAUUGCACAAGAAACUCAGAAUGAUGGAAUUGCUCAGUGCUCCCAUAAAUAUACAUUUAUAAUUUUCAUUUGCCAUGUGGUAAAUUUAAAAAUUAAGUUCUAUUAAAAUUUUUUCAAAAAUUCAAAGCAUAUCUAAAUAUCUAAUAUAUAAAUUAAGUGCCCUCCUCUCUCCCAAUUCUAUCUCCUAGAGUUAUCCUCUAUUAAAUAAGUUGUGUGCAUUCUUUAAGUGGAUAGAUGCACACACACACAAACACACACACACAAGAUAUUUUGGGGGGUUCUGAAAGUGGAGCUAUAUUGUACACAUUAUUCUUCAAAUUGCAUUUCAUUUAACAGUUUUUUCAAUACCUUUUUCUGUUUCAGUAAUACAUAUCUGUGUCAUUUGUUGAAUGACUGCAUGAUUGUUUUGUACAUGAAAUAUAAUUAAAUGUUUUAAGCAUUUCUCAUUCAUAGAUAUUUAUGUUAGCACCAAAUUUCUGUGCAAUGAACCUCCCUAUAUAUCAAUAAUUUGCAUUUGUCUAUUAUAUCAUAAUAAAUUACUCAGCAGUGAAAAUACUGGGAUUAAGUAUAUGCACAUUUCAAAUUUUGAAAAUGAUCACAAGAUUUCCUUUAAAAUGUGGUAACAACUUUAUCCUCAAAUGGCAAUGAAUGAGAUUGCCAGCUUUCCCACAACCUCACAGAUAAUGAAUUUUAUGACUAUUUAAAAUCUUUGCCAGUGUGAUAGCCCAAACUAUUGUCUUAAAUUGUAUUUCUUUCAUUUUUGAGUGUGAUCAUUUUUUCAUAUGUUUAUUAGCCAUCUGUAUUUUUAAAUUUUCUUUUUAUAUCCAAUUUUGGGGGUGGGUGGAGGUUUUAAUCUCUUGCUAAUUUCAGAGAGCUCAUUUAUUAUUGGGGGAAUAAGCUUUCGAUUGUCAAGCAUUACAGAUAUUUUUUACACACUUUUAAACUUCAUUUUUGUUAUAAGAAUGUGUAUGACUGUUAUGUGUCCAAGUAUAACCAUGUUCGCUUCUAUGGCUUCUGAGUUUCAUGUCAUUUUAGAAAGAUAUUUACACUGAUCCCAUAAAACUCUCCACCUGUGUUAACUUCUAAUUAUUUUGUGUUUUUUAAUUCAAAUUCUUAAAUCAUGAGAAAGUUUUUUUAUUUCAAAUCUUAAAGUUGCCAAGUUAUUUGCCAUUACUUGCGAUUAUUUGCCAAUAAUUGCCCAUUUAUCUGUAAUGCCAUCUUGCAUAUAUGCUGUAUUCUCAUCUGUGACUGGCUCCAUUUUUGUUCUGUGGGUCUGUGUGUCUCUUCUUCUGCCUCCUGUCUCAUGUGUCUUCUCAUUGGAAGAAAUUACAGUUUAGACUGCAAUUUCAUCAACUUCAAUAAAUUAAUUUAGUGGAGAAUUGGUUUUUAACAAUAGUCUUCCUAUCCAAGAACAAGGUAUGUCUUUCUUUUUAUUCAAUAAUUUUAAUUACUGUUAAUAUUUUCACUUUGUGGUGGGGGUAUCUUCUUUCAGUUUAUUUUCUUACUUGCUAAUUUUUCUAUAUCUGGAAGUUUUGUUUUGUUUUGGGGGUAAGUGAUCUCCUUACUCUUUCUCAUGGCUUUUCAGAAUUUUUUUUCAAAUUAUGUACUAAAUCCUUUGAAAAUACUGAUAGUUGUGAUUCUCCUCUUCCAAAUGAUCUGGAUUUUAGUUAUGUUGAUAAAAUUCACUGACUGAUACUUUCAGAGCACUUAAACAAUUGUGGGAAUAUUACCCACCAUUGAUUUAAUUAGGUUUUAAUGGAUACUUCUUGGGUUUGACCAGCAUGUUUUUGCUGGUCUAUUAAGCAAAAAGACUCUCAGAAACCUACUGCAGCAAGGGAAAACACCACUUUGACAAGGUUUAGUAGUGUUUCAAAAGCAGGAAAUUAGGGCUUUGAGGGAUGGGUUGAUGUGGUUUAAGGCAGGAUUUUCAAGGCAGGGAACUGGUUAAGAGUGGGCAAAAUUUGUCCUGCGAUAGUUUGAAGUCGAUGAAAGAGUAAGAUGAGGACCUUGAUGUGAGUUUAGAUAAUCAAAUUUUUGUCUGAUGAAUGAGCUACUUCCCUAUAUGAAUAAUAAGUUAUCAAUGAUGGAAGAACUAUUUGCUUAGAUGAACAGACUGAAUUUAUUUGUUGGUUUACAGUUCUAUCUUGUUUAUAGAACCCUGCUAGGGGUGGUAUCAGGUCUUAGUUCCAAUAGGUAAGUUAUUUUGAUGUAAGUAGUCUCAGUCAUCAAAGUAAGAUGCUAAUUUUAAAUUUGAGAUUCUUGUGUAUUGUGUUAGGAAAAGUCUCUUACCUUUGAUAUAUUUCUAAAGAAUUUUAAUCAAAACCAAGUGGUAGAUAUAAUCAAAUGCUUUUUGCAUAAACAAUUAUAUUAUUCUUUAAACUUUUAUCAUUGUGAAAUAAUUCAUUUUUAAUAUUGAAAUUUCCUUAUAUUCCUUUUAUUGUUUAUUCAGCAAACUCAUUUUGGUUAAAAAGAAGUUUUGCUUUUUAAAUUUACUACUGAAUUAUGAGUAUCUUAAUUUGAUUUGGAAUUUUUGCAGGUGUACUACUUAGAUGAAACUGAUCUGUAAUUUUCUUUUUUGUUCUGUUUUUGUCAUGUUUGUAUAUUAGAUUUUCUGGUUGUGUUAAAAUAAUUUUAAGGAUUUUCUUUUUACUCUGUGCUCUAGAAUGGGUUGAAAAGGUUUGGCAUUAACAUCAGCAGUUAAGCGAACACAUCAUUUAAAUCACCUGAAUUCUCCUUUGUUUUUGGUGGUUUGGAGUAGAACUGAGGCUAACUAUCUAGAAAGUGUUCUCACUUUUUUCUACGGUUAUUGCUUAUUUUUUGUUUUAUUAUCUUAUAUUUAACUUGUUUUCUACUAGAAAAUCACAGUCCAAGUAGAUUUGCAAACACGGUAUGUAGGAUGAAGUAAUACAAAGUGUUCUUUCAUCACUCUGUUAAUUUCUCUUGUCUCAAUUAAUAUCCAUUUUCAUUCCAGUCUUGGUUGUUUCUGCUAUGUCUUUUUUAAUGAAAUGAGUUUGACUCAUGGAUUUUUAUCAUCACUAUUUCUCCAUUCCCCUGUUCCCCAAUCAGCUCUUUGGUAUAAUUUAUCAGUGUUGUUUUUUUUAAUGUUCUAAUUUAUUUAUAUAUUUUUUCUGUAUUCCUCUGUGGUUUUUUCCUAAUAAAUUCUUAAACAUGUGUAA
Molecule: long non-coding RNA, 7184 nt
Organism: Globicephala melas (long-finned pilot whale)
Lineage: Eukaryota; Metazoa; Chordata; Mammalia; Artiodactyla; Delphinidae
Source: RefSeq, a predicted model, not a curated record